RNAcentral lists this ribosomal RNA (254 nucleotides) under uncultured bacterium. Its description in RNAcentral is "partial 16S ribosomal RNA". It matches the Rfam family "Bacterial small subunit ribosomal RNA", at positions 524 to 777 of the family's 1533-position model. The record is from RNAcentral.
UACAGAGGGUGCGAGCGUUGUCCGGAAUCACUGGGCGUAAAGGGCGCGUAGGUGGCGACCCAAGUCGAUGGUGAAAGCUCGCCGCUCAACGGCGAGUCGGCCACUGAUACUGGGUUGCUGGAGCACUGUAGAGGCAGAUGGAAUUCCGGGUGUAGCGGUGGAAUGCGUAGAGAUCCGGAAGAACACCGGUGGCGAAGGCGGUCUGCUGGGCAGUUGCUGACACUGAGGCGCGACAGCGUGGGGAGCAAACAGGG